This is a non-coding RNA of Triticum aestivum (bread wheat), 126 nucleotides long. NCBI's taxonomy places the organism in Eukaryota, Viridiplantae, Streptophyta, Magnoliopsida, Poales, Poaceae. The record is from Rfam.
UUAGUAUUCCCUCCGUCCGAAAAAUCUUGUCCGAAGCUUGUCUUUCAAAUAGAUGUAUCUAGCACUAACUUGUUGCUAAAUACAUCAAUUUGAGGGACAAACUUUUUCGGACGGAGGGAGUAUGUA